AGGUCCCUUGGGGUUUUGGCUCUUGUUCUAUGUUUCCCUGGGAAACGGAAGCUUCCUGAGAGGUGAGAAAUCCCGUUCUGAUGAGAUGCCCAUUCCUAUGUAAGGUGCUAUCGAAGAGUCGAGUUGUUUGGGAAUGCAGCUCUAAGUGGGUGGUAAAUUCCAUCUAAAGCUAAAUAUUGGCGAGAGACCGAUAGCGAACAAGUACAGUGAUGGAAAGAUGAAAAGAACUUUGAAAAGAGAGUGAAAAAGUACGUGAAAUUGUUGAAAGGGAAGGGCAUUAGAUCAGACUUGGUGUUUUACGAUUAUCUUCUCUUCUUGAGUUGUGCACUCGUAUUUCACUGGGCCAGCAUCGAUUCGGAUGGCAAGAUAAUGGCAGUUGAAUGUGGCUUCACUUCGGUGGAGUGUUAUAGCUUCUGCUGAUAUUGCCUGUCUGGAUCGAGGGCUGCGUCUUUUGACUAGGAUGCUGGCGUAAUGAUCUAAUGCCGCCCGUCUGAACCCGAACCC
RNAcentral lists this ribosomal RNA (504 nucleotides) under Hansenula anomala. Its description in RNAcentral is "eukaryotic LSU rRNA". It matches the Rfam family "Eukaryotic large subunit ribosomal RNA", at positions 157 to 668 of the family's 3401-position model. Lineage: Eukaryota; Fungi; Ascomycota; Saccharomycetes; Phaffomycetales; Wickerhamomycetaceae. The record is from RNAcentral.